This 503-nucleotide ribosomal RNA is filed under the name uncultured bacterium. Its description in RNAcentral is "partial 16S ribosomal RNA". It matches the Rfam family "Bacterial small subunit ribosomal RNA", at positions 28 to 523 of the family's 1533-position model. The record is from RNAcentral.
GAUGAACGCUGGCGGCGUGCCUAAUACAUGCAAGUCGAACGAAGAUCCAGCUUGCUAGAUCUUAGUGGCGAACGGGUGAGUAAUACAUAAAUAAUCUGCCCAUAUGACUGGGAUAACUAUUGGAAACGAUAGCUAAUACCGGAUAGGUUGAUCGGAGGCAUCUCUGAUGAAUUAAAGUAGGAUUUCUACACAAAUGGAUGAGUUUAUGGCGCAUUAGUUAGUUGGUGGGGUAACGGCCUACCAAGACGAUGAUGCGGAGCCGACCUGAGAGGGUGACCGGCCACACUGGGACUGAGACACGGCCCAGACUCCUACGGGAGGCAGCAGUAGGGAAUUUUCGGCAAUGGGCGCAAGCCUGACCGAGCAACGCCGCGUGAGUGAUUAAGGCCUUCGGGUUGUAAAGCUCUGUUGUAAGGGAAGAACAUUCAGGAUAGGAAAUGAUCUUGAACUGACGGUACCUUACCAGAAAGCCACGGCUAACUACGUGCCAGCCGCCGCGGUAA